GAGAGAGAGAGAGAGAGAGAGCCUGAUUCAAUUUUGAAUUUCAAAUUAACGUUUCUCUCUCUUUAGAAAGAGCUAUAGCCGUUGCGGUGCGGCCAACCACCGCCUCCCUGAGAUUGUAGAGACGCGUCGGGAAAACGCGAAUUGUUCGAACAAUUUGUUCUUUUGUUUCAAUCCUCUGCCUUUGAAAGAGUUGAAUCUGGUCCCUUCUUGAGGUUUGCCACCUCCUUAUUAUCGAUCUAUGAUAUGAUGCAAUCUGGAUUAGAAAAACCAGAUGAUGAAAAUUGUGAUGUUGAUUCGGCAUAUCCCAAUUAUCGUAAUUUGUGGGUCAUAUAUGAAAUUGCAAUCAAAUUAUUGGUGCUCCCUCAUUUGUUGGGGUUGAGGAACCAUUUUUUGAUUGUGAUUCUGGUGGGAAAUCGAGCAUUUAAGAGGGAUAUGCUGUUUCAUUACCAUCACAGUUUUCUUAUCUGGUGAUGCUGGCAUGAUUUGUGUAGCCUUGAUAUUGGUAUUGAUCGGAUAUGUUGCCCCUGAGUCCCUGACCCGAGAUUAAUAAACACGUAACAAUUGUGUCCAAUUGGUAGCCUUGAUGUUUUUGGAAAUGUUGGGCCUGGGUCUCUGACCAGAGAAUCAAAACAAGGUUACCAUUGUGUCCAAUUAGUAUUUUGGAUAUAUUGUGCCUCAGUCCCUGACCCAAGAAUCAAAACAAGGUUACCAUCGUCUCCAAUUGGUAGCCUCGAUGUUUUCAGAUAUAUUGUGCCUCAGUCCCUGACCCGAGAAUCAAAACAAGGUUACCAUUGUGUCCAAUUGGUAGCCUAGAUAUUUUCGGAUAUGUUGUGCCUUAGUCCCUGACCCGAGAAUCAAAACAAGGUUACCAUCGUCUCCAAUUGGUAGCCUCGAUGUUUUCAGAUAUAUUGUGCCUCAGUCCCUGACCCGAGAAUCAAAACAAGGUUACCAUUGUCUCCAAUUGGUAGCCUCGAUGUUUUCAGAUAUAUUGUGCCUCAGUCCCUGACCCGAGAAUCAAAACAAGGUUACCAUUGUGUCCAAUUGGUAGCCUAGAUAUUUUCGGA
Molecule: long non-coding RNA, 1064 nt
Organism: Argentina anserina (silverweed cinquefoil)
Lineage: Eukaryota; Viridiplantae; Streptophyta; Magnoliopsida; Rosales; Rosaceae
Exons: 3
Source: RefSeq, a predicted model, not a curated record